CAAACGGUUUUGCGGCAAACCACAUCCCUACCCAACCCAAGCAGAUAGCAUUCCGUCGAACACCUCACCCCCGCUCCAAUGGCAGCCACCACCACCGCAUCGCUCUCCACCCUCUCUCCCGCGGCCGGCAGGCGGUUCGCCCUCUCCUCCACGUCCCUCUCAUUCUCCUCCCACCGCCUCACCACCACCCCCGCCGUCCUCCGCCUCCGCGCCGCCGCAGCCUCGAGGACGCCGACAAGGAGGCGGGCGUCGUCCCGCAUCGCGGCGACUAUCGCGGUGGGCGACAAGCUCCCCGACGCGACGCUCUCCUACUUCGACCCGGCCGACGGGGAGCUGAAGACGGUGACGGUCUCGGACCUGACCGCGGGGAAGAAGGCCAUCCUCUUCGCGGUGCCCGGCGCAUUCACGCCGACGUGCUCGCAGAAGCACCUCCCGGGGUUCGCGGAGAAGGCCGGCGAGCUGAGGGCGAAGGGUGUGGAGACGUUGGCGUGCGUGUCGGUGAACGACGCGUUCGUGAUGAAGGCGUGGAAGGAGGCGCUGGGGGUCGGGGACGACGUGAUGAUGCUGUCGGAUGGGAACCUGGAGCUGACGCGCGCGCUGGGCGUGGAGAUGGACCUCUCCGACAAGCCGGUCGGGCUCGGGGUGAGGUCGAGGAGGUACGCGCUGCUGGCCGAGGACGGCGUCGUCAAGGUGCUCAACCUCGAGGAGGGCGGCGCCUUCACCAGCAGCAGCGCCGAGGACAUGCUCCAGGCGCUCGGGUGAGCAGGUUGAU
This 772-nucleotide long non-coding RNA is filed under the name Setaria viridis. Its description in RNAcentral is "long non-coding RNA (SVIR_LNC000101)". Lineage: Eukaryota; Viridiplantae; Streptophyta; Magnoliopsida; Poales; Poaceae. The record is from RNAcentral.